CCUCGGAUCGAAAUAUUCAUGAUCUUUCUCGAAUCAAAGUGGCCAUGAUCUUUCUCGGAUCAAAUCAUUCAUGAUCUUUCUCGGAUCAGAUUCUUCAUGAUCUUUCUCGGAUCAUAUUAUUCUUCCACACAUAAGCCUGUGGGGGCUGUCCCGGGCAUAAGCUCCGGGCAAGCUAUUCCACAUGACAAGACCAGUCCAAACCAUAUUUCUCUUUCUUUUCAUUUUCAUGAAAUUAAAAUAUUUGACUUCAUUAAUCAAUUCAAAUUUUGCAAUGUAAUAAAUAUGUCAUACCCAUAUAAUCAUGCUAUCAAUCGCUGAUACAUAUGUAUUGAUAUAACAUACUCAUGCUCAAAAUCACAUAAAUAAAUAACAGUGUCUC
This 379-nucleotide long non-coding RNA is filed under the name Elaeis guineensis (African oil palm). RNAcentral's name for it is "long non-coding RNA (EGUI_LNC004053)". The record is from RNAcentral. Lineage: Eukaryota; Viridiplantae; Streptophyta; Magnoliopsida; Arecales; Arecaceae.